RNAcentral lists this non-coding RNA (158 nucleotides) under bovine gut metagenome. RNAcentral describes it as "Lysine riboswitch". It matches the Rfam family "Lysine riboswitch aptamer". From Rfam's summary of the family: Riboswitches are metabolite binding domains within certain messenger RNAs that serve as precision sensors for their corresponding targets. The record is from RNAcentral.
UGAUGGAGGCGCACCCGAAAUCAGUAACCUGCAUUUAAAGGUUGCCAAAACCGCAGGCGAAAGGUGACGGUGCCGAAGCAAAUGUUGUGGCAUACAUUUGGCUGGCAUUGCGGAAAAUAUCCGUAAUGCUGUCGCAUAAUUUAUGCGGAGUGCUAUCA